This 301-nucleotide ribosomal RNA is filed under the name uncultured bacterium. RNAcentral's name for it is "partial 16S ribosomal RNA". It matches the Rfam family "Bacterial small subunit ribosomal RNA", at positions 509 to 807 of the family's 1533-position model. The record is from RNAcentral.
CAGUCGCCACGGUAACACGUAGGGUGCGAGCGUUAAUCGGAAUUACUGGGCGUAAAGCGUGCGCAGGCGGUUGUGUAAGACAGGUGUGAAAUCCCCGGGCUUAACCUGGGAACUGCGCUUGUGACUGCACAGCUAGAGUAUGGCAGAGGGGGGUGGAAUUCCACGUGUAGCAGUGAAAUGCGUAGAGAUGUGGAGGAACACCGAUGGCGUAGGCAGCCCCCUGGGCCAAUACUGACGCUCAUGCACGAAAGCUAGGGGAGCAAAUGGGAUUAGAUACCCCAGUAGUCCCUGUCUCUUAUAC